UGAGGAAUAUUGGUCAAUGGGCGGGAGCCUGAACCAGCCAAGCCGCGUGACGGAAGAAGGCGCUAAGCGUCGUAAACGUCUUUUGCCGGGGAACAAAGGCGCGGACGCGUCCGCGUGUGAGUGUACCCGGAGAAAAAGCAUCGGCUAACUCCGUGCCAGCAGCCGCGGUAAUACGGAGGAUGCGAGCGUUAUCCGGAUUUAUUGGGUUUAAAGGGUGCGUAGGCGGCCCGUUAAGUCAGCGGUAAAAGCCCGGGGCUCAACCCGGCGAGCCGUUGAAACUGGGGGCGUAGAGACGGCGAGAAGUACGCGGAAUGCGCGGUGUAGCGGUGAAAUGCAUAGAUAUCGCGCAGAACUCCGAUUGCGAAGGCAGCGUACCGGCGCCGGACUGACGCUGAGGCACGAAAGCGUGGGUAUCGAACAGGAUUAGAUACC
This 432-nucleotide ribosomal RNA is filed under the name uncultured bacterium. RNAcentral describes it as "bacterial SSU rRNA". It matches the Rfam family "Bacterial small subunit ribosomal RNA", at positions 355 to 786 of the family's 1533-position model. The record is from RNAcentral.